Molecule: long non-coding RNA, 2344 nt
Filed under: Carica papaya (papaya)
Lineage: Eukaryota; Viridiplantae; Streptophyta; Magnoliopsida; Brassicales; Caricaceae
Description: long non-coding RNA (CPAP_LNC009931)
Source: RNAcentral
CAUCGGAUCGGUGUCUCCGUCAGGUGUCGGCGGCUCCCCCGGUUGCGGUCCCUCACUGGUUGGAGAAAUCUGCCGGGAAGGUUCCUCACUAUGGCUAUCAUGCUCAUGGGAAUCCUCCCCACUUCUACCUCAUCCACAACGGAAAUCACUGGCAAUAACCCAGAACGGAGAACCAAAUUGAGAACCCAAACAAAGAAGUAUGAAAACAAUACUACUGCUAUAAAUAGAUCAACUCGAAUCCAAAAGAAGAAAAAAGAAGCAGAAAAAAAGAUAUUUGAGAAGUAACUCGUAUAUAAAUAUAUAUCAUGUAAUGGAAGGGACUGUAAUUACUCGUUAAGGAUUGCUUUUUGAUGCGAGGCGAUUAAUGAAUUUCCAGUCCAAUUUCGUGUUUGGAUGCCAAAACUUUGUGAUGGUGAGUUUGUUCAUCUUCUUUUUCCCAUUUUUUGGUUUAAAAAAUUUAUGGUAUAUAUAUCUCCAUUACCAUUAAGCGCGUAGCAGCUUCCGUUCUGUCCUUGUAUUUGCCGUUAGGAUUUUGUCCUUUAGCUCGUAAGCGUAACAGCAGGGUGCAUGCUUGAUCUGUUGUUUCGGAUUCGUGUAUGUGCGUGCCGUGUCCCCCCGUCUUGCUUUUAUCUUCUCAGGUUUCGUUUUUUGUCGGCAUGUAUAUGUCGUCCAGUCUGCCCUGUAGAUUGCCAUUAUUAUCCUCCUUGUUCCCUGUUACGUAUUCUUUUCAUGUCACCCAUGUUCAGUUUUGUACUUUUCUUAAUUUGUUUCUUUCGUCUUUCUCCAUAUCUCUCCCUCUCUCUUAUCUUUUCUUUUUCUUUUGGUGUUUAGUUAGCUAGGUCUAAUCUUAUCUGUUUAUUCUAUAAUUAAUCGUUCCCAUUUAGAAUAAUUUAUUUGGAUUUAAUGUUCUUAUCAUUUGUUUGUGCAGGUCAGUGAAGUGAAGAGAUUAGAAAGAAUGGAGGUUGAAGAUGAUGGGGGAGAAAGUGCUGGUAAAUCACAGUAAGUAAAACAAUUGCUUUCUGGAACUAAAUUACCACUUGCCAAUAAUAUUAGUUACUUGCUUACAUUCGAUUACCAGUUGGCAUUUCUGUAUGUGCAUAAGAUAUUCUUAUCAUCAAUUAAGUACUUUUAUUUUAAAUGGGCCCCUUAUAUACACGCAUAUGUACAUUAGGUUCUUUGAAUAUAUUCGAGGAGAUAGCCAUUUAAUGAUUAGGAUGCUCUGUUCCUUUCUCCCUUUUCCCUGUUUUUCUUAUUCUCAACCCUCCAUUUGGGUUUGCCUCUUGAGGACACAAACUGUCACAUCCCAUUAGCUGCCAUGAAUUAUCAUCUUCCCACCCUCCUCCUGAGUUUUAAAACAAAUCAAUGAGAAGUUUUAAUAGAAUUUACAGAGAAGAUAAUAUAGUAGAAGCUUGAAAAAUAAUCCCAAGAUUUGUGUUUGGCGUUACUGGUACGAGUUAUAUGAUAUUUGUUUGGUGAUAAAUGGAGCAUGAAUGACAAGGGGUGAUUUUGAUUUUGACCAGAUACCCUGAAUGGCAUGCAGCUGGCAUGGAACCACUGGUAGUUUGAUUCAUACCAAACAACAGAAGGGCGAUGGCGAUGUACUUGAAGAGAUUGGUAGAUGGGACCAUCCGGGUGCUCUGGAAUUACCCUCGAUUAACUCGAAAUUGGGACGUAUGGCGAAAGAAACUAACAUUCUUUAAAACUGAUGGCAUAUAAUAAAGACAGCAGAGAAUCAUAUAUGACAAAACCAGAAAUUGGAAGUAAACGGAAAGCAAUUAUUAAUGCAAAUCCAAAAUAGAAAUAUACCCGAUAGAAGGAAAAGGGGAAAGAGCAUAGAAGGUUUCUGGGGUAAGGAUGUCCAGUAAUACAUGGCAGCAUUUUCAAAAGGAGGAUUCCCAUGGCGGUGGGUGUUUUGGAGAGAGAUAAAGAUAACUAAUUGUUAAUUUGAGACAUUAAAAAGAAGAAAGUGAUUUUGGUAUUGUUGUGGUCGUGGAGAGUAAAAGAUAAAAAGUGAUUUAAGGUUUAGGGUAUACCCCCACCCAUGUGCUGUCCCUAUUUAUUCCCUUUCAUCUCCAUCUCCAUUUUAUUUUUUUGUGGGAGAAGAGAAGAUGAUGUAGGGUAGGGGUAGGGUUUUCAGUCGUUUUUAGUAAAGAAGAAGAAGAAGAAGUGGGCAUUGUCAUGGAUCCCACAACAUUGAGAGUUGAGAGUGUUUGUUAUGAAACAUUAAUUGCUGAUAAUGUGGACAUCCACUGGGCUGCUGACGCUGAUGAAAAGCCCUCUUGAGGGCUGUUGUUUCUGGGGGGGGACUCUUUUCAACCACCACUAAUUUUGAAAUCUGAAUUAU